GAUAACUAUGUAUUUAAAUGAGAGGGAAAUUCUAAAACAACAUAUUGGAUGGAAAAAUGGUUGGGAAGAUAGGUGCCCAUUCUGUUCCUAUCUUCAGAAGUUAUUUAUACCUAUGCAAUACCUUCGCUCAGGUUAAAGAAUGGAAUACUAGUCUUGCAUCAAAUAUAUUUUACAUAUCCAUUCGAUGUUUAUCACCAGAAGUUAGUUCUACCUUUGCAGUACCUCCGCUCUACAUACCUCCUCACUGGUUAAA
This is a non-coding RNA of Hydra vulgaris (swiftwater hydra), 253 nucleotides long. The record is from RefSeq and is a predicted model, not a curated record. NCBI's taxonomy places the organism in Eukaryota, Metazoa, Cnidaria, Hydrozoa, Anthoathecata, Hydridae.